CACUGUACUUGGGGAGAUUGGGGUGUCGGGUCUGAAUAUCAGAGACACCAAGGCAUUUUGGAGGUCAGCAAAGGGAGCCCAGGAGAGGGGCCCCUAAGUGGGGGCUGGAGACCAAUCUGUCCUCCCCAAGGACAGUGCAGUGUGGGGACCAGAGGGGCAGUGUGACUGCCCUGUCCUCGGCUCCGUGGGCUCCGCUGUGCCCGCUGAGAGGCAGGUGGCCAUCUACAUCGCUUGGACUUUGAGUUCCAGUUAGGGGCUGUCGGUUCACAGUCAGGGGGCCAGGUAGCCGGUGAUCUGGCCUCUGCGGGGCCAGGUUUGAGGAGCAGAUGACGGAGGGGCCAGGACCCUCCCGAUCACAGUGACUUGGGUCGGCUUCCAAGUGGCCCCUGGAGACAGUGCAGGUCUCCGGGCAGCCUCAGGCAGUGCCGGGCCAGACCCACUGUUUUUGUGGGGUGAGGACGGGGAUUGCGCUGUUGUGAUUACUACGGUAUGGACUACUGGGGCAAGGGGACCCAAGUCACCGUCUCCUCAGGGACCCAGUCUUCCCCAAACCUCUUCCCGCUCAUCUCCUGUGAGGACCCCCUGUCCGAUGAGUCCCCCGUGGCCAUGGGCUGCCUGGCCAAGGACUUCCUGCCCACCCCCGUCACCUUCUCCUGGAUCUACCAGAACAACAGUGCCGUCAACAGCCAAGCCUUCUACGACUUCCCAUCGGUCUUCAGGGAGGGCAAGUAUGCGGCCAGCUCCCAGCUGCUCCUGUCCUCUGCUGACAUCCUCCAGGGCACAGACGAGUUUGUGACAUGCAAAGUCAAACACUUCGACUCUAAUGAAAACGUAAAAGUGCCCCUACCAGGAUCACAAGGAACCUCAAAUCAUCCCCCCAAUGUGAGCGUCUUCAUCCCGACCCGUGGCUCCUUCAACAACGGCCCGCGCACGUCCAAGCUCAUCUGCCAGGCCACGAACUUCAGCCCCAAGAAGAUCUCUGUGUCCUGGCUGCAGGAGGGGAAGCUGCUGACCUCCGGCUUCACCACAGACAAGGUGGAAGUGGACAACAAACAGUCCCGACCCGUGACCUACAAGGUCACCAGCAUGCUGACCAUCACCGAGAGUGACUGGCUCAACCAGAACGUGUUCACCUGCCAAGUAGAGCACAAUCAGGUGACCUUGCAGAAGAACAUGUCGUCCAUCUGUGGCUCCAGUACAUCCACCAUCAAAAUCUUCGCCAUCCCACCCUCCUUCGCCAGCAUCUUUCUCACCAAGAUUGCCAAGCUGUCCUGCCUGGUCACAGACCUGGCCACCUAUGACAGCCUGACCAUCACCUGGAGCCGCCAGAAUGGCGAGGAACUGAAAACCCACACCAACAUCUCCGAGAGCCACCCCAAUUCCACCUUCAGUGCCACAGGAUGGACCACAGUGUGCGUGGAGGACUGGGAGACAGGAGAUGAGUUCACGUGCACAGUGACCCACACGGACCUGCCCUCGCCGUUGAAGCACACCGUCUUCAAGCCCAAGGGAGGCCACAAGCAAAUGCCCUCUGUGUACGUGCUGCCACCAAGCAGGGAACAGCUGAGCCUGCGGGAGUCAGCCUCGGUCACCUGCCUGGUGAAGAGCUUCUCGCCUGCAGAUGUGUCUGUGCAGUGGAUGCAGAGAGGGCAGCCGGUGGCCCCUGAAACGUAUGUGACCAGUGCCCCGAUGCCCGAGCCCCAGGCCCCUGGCCUCUACUUCGUCCACAGCAUCCUGACCGUGAGUGAAGAGGACUGGUCUGCCGGCGAGACCUACACCUGUGUCGUGGCCCAUGAGGCCCUGCCCCACUCGGUGACCGAGAGGACCGUGGACAAGUCCACCGAGGGGGAGGUGAGCGCCGAUGAGGAAGGCUUUGAGAACCUGAACACCAUGGCCUCCACCUUCAUCGUCCUGUUCCUCCUCAGUCUCUUCUACAGCACGACGGUCACCCUGUUCAAGGUGAAGUGACCGGAGGACAGAGCGUAGACACCGAGAAGAUGGAGCCAAGAGGGGCGCCUGCCGCCUUGAGCCCAGGGCUGGCCGCACGCUGGGUCCACUUGUACUUAGCUCUCCCCUGUGCCGCCCUCCAGCUCGCUGCUUCGGAAACCGCCUCUCUGGACGCGGCCGUGAGGGAGCGUGGAGCCCACAGCCGCGGCUCUGCCCGGGCACCGCUUUGCAAUGUACGCACUUGCCUGUGACCAUGUCGUCUUGGAAUAAAU
Molecule: non-coding RNA, 2219 nt
Organism: Molossus molossus (Pallas's mastiff bat)
Lineage: Eukaryota; Metazoa; Chordata; Mammalia; Chiroptera; Molossidae
Source: the annotation of a RefSeq genome assembly